CCUACGGGAGGCAGCAGUGGGGAAUAUUGCACAAUGGGGGAAACCCUGAUGCAGCGACGCCGCGUGAGUGAAGAAGAAUUUCGGGAUGUAAAGCUCUAUCAGCAGGGAAGAAAAGGACGGUACGUGAUUAAGAAGCCCCGGAUAACUACGUGCCAGCAGCCGCGGUAAUACGUAGGGGGCAAGCGUUAUCCGGAUUUACUGGGUGAAAAGGGAGCGUAGACGGCAGCACCAGUCUGGAGUGAAAUGCCGGGGCUUAACCCCGGAACUGCUUUGGAAACUUUGCAGCUAGAGUGCAGCCGAGGUAAGUGGCAUUCCUAGUGUAGCGGUGAAAUGCGUAGAUAUUAGGAGGAACCCCAGUUGCGAAGGCGGCUUACUGGACUGUAACUGACGUUGAGGCUCGAAAGCGUGGGGAGCAACCAGGAUUAGAUACCCUGGUAGUC
Molecule: ribosomal RNA, 440 nt
Filed under: uncultured bacterium
Lineage: Bacteria
Description: partial 16S ribosomal RNA
Rfam family: Bacterial small subunit ribosomal RNA
Source: RNAcentral